AUAUCACGGAGGAACACCGAUGGCGAAGGCAGGUCUCUGUGCCGCAACUGACGCUGAUGGAGAGAAAGCAUGGGGAGCGACACCGGAUUAGAUACCCUGGUAGUCCAUGCCGUAAACGUUGGGCACUAGGUGUGGGGCUCAUUUCACGAGUUUCCGUGCCGCAGCAAACGCAUUAUAGUGCCCCGCCUGGGGAGUACGCGCCGCAAGGCUAAAACUCAAAGGAAUUGACGGGGGCCCGCACACAGCGGCGGAGCAUGCGGAUUAAUUCGAUGCAACGCGAAGAACCUUAUCAAGGCUUGACAUGCACGAGAAGCCACCAGAGAUGGUGGUCUCUUUGGACACUCGUGCACAGGUGGUGCAUGGUUGUCGUCAGCUCGUGUCGUGAGAUGUUGGGUUAAGUCCCGCAACGAGCGCAACCCUCGUCACAUGUUGUCAGCGGGUUAUGCCGGGGACUCAUGGGAGACUGCCGGGGUCACCUCGGAGGAAGGUGGGGAUGACGUCAAAUCAUCAUGCCCCUUAUGUCUUUGGCUUCACGCAUGCUACAAUAGGCGGUACAAAAAGCUGCGAUAUCGUAAGGUGGAGAGAAUCCCCAAAAGCCGCUCUCAGUUCGGAUUGGGGUCUGCAACUCGACCCCAUGAAGUCUGAGUCUCUAGUAAUCGCAGAUCAACAACGCUGCGGUGAAUACUUUCCCGGGCCUUGUACACAACGCCCGUCAAGUCACGAAAGUCGGUAACACAC
RNAcentral lists this ribosomal RNA (738 nucleotides) under Cellulosimicrobium cellulans. RNAcentral's name for it is "bacterial SSU rRNA". It matches the Rfam family "Bacterial small subunit ribosomal RNA", at positions 694 to 1422 of the family's 1533-position model. Lineage: Bacteria; Bacillati; Actinomycetota; Actinomycetes; Micrococcales; Promicromonosporaceae. The record is from RNAcentral.